AAAGUGCUUCUUGUUCGGCUGU
RNAcentral lists this microRNA (22 nucleotides) under Xenopus laevis (African clawed frog). RNAcentral's name for it is "Xla-Mir-430-o8b_3p (mature (guide))". Lineage: Eukaryota; Metazoa; Chordata; Amphibia; Anura; Pipidae. The record is from RNAcentral.